Molecule: RNA transcript, 4476 nt
Organism: Hevea brasiliensis (rubber tree)
Lineage: Eukaryota; Viridiplantae; Streptophyta; Magnoliopsida; Malpighiales; Euphorbiaceae
Gene name: disease resistance protein Roq1
Exons: 7
Source: RefSeq, a predicted model, not a curated record
GCGAGGACUGAGGAGGCAGUGGAAACAUUUCUGCCCUCCAAAAAUUUGCAGUGGACGACCAUGGCUGCUUCUUCUUCCUCCUCAAAAAAUUUUCAGUGGAAGCACGAUGUGUUCUUGAGCUUCAGAGGCAAAGAAACUCGCACUAACUUCACCAGCCAUCUAUAUCAAGCUCUGCGCAUGAAAGGAAUCAACACUUUCAUCGAUUGGAAGAUUGAGAGAGGAGAAGAGAUCACUCCUUCGAUUGUUGACGCGAUCAAAGGAUCAAGGAUCUCCGUUGUUGUCUUCUCUCAAGACUAUGCUUCUUCUUCGUAUUGCUUGGAUGAAUUGCUGACGAUGCUUUCUUUUAAGCAUGAGUCAAAACACCAUGUCGUUAUCCCCCUCUUCUACAAGGUGGAUCCUGAGGAUGUAAAGCACCAGACAGGCAGGUUUGGUCAAGCAUUUGAUAAAUCUGAAGCGCAUUCGGAGGAGAAGUUGAAAGAAUGGAGGGAAGCUCUAACCGAGGCUGUUAAAUUGGCUGGGUUUCACUUGGAUAACAAUAGGGAUGAGGCUAAAUUUAUUCAGAGUAUUGUUGAAGAUGUCUCAGCUAAACUGAACCGCAAAUUGUUACCUGUCCCUGAACAUCAUGUUGGGAUACAAUCCCAUGUAGAUGAGGUGAUUUGUAUGUUAAAAGAUGUUCGCAUGGUAGGGAUAUGCGGAACCGGUGGAAUAGGCAAGACGACUCUUGCCAAAGCCGUUUAUAACAAAAUUGCUAAUCAUUUUGAAGGGAGUUGCUUUCUUGAAAAUGUUAGAAAAACCUCAGAGCAAACUCUUCAAGAAACCGUUCUUAUUGAGAUAAUAGGAGAUAAAAAUGUGAUGAUGGGUAACUUUGCUAGAGGAAUCAAUUGCAUAGAGGAGAGGUUAUGCAGUAAAAGGGUUCUUAUUGUUAUUGAUGAUGUGGAUAAUGUGGACCAAUUGAAAAAAUUAGCUGCACUAAAUUGCUUUGGUGCGGGAAGCAGAAUCAUUAUCACAACUAGAGAUGAACAUUUGCUAGUUGUCCAUGAAGUGGAAAGAGUAUAUAAGAUUAAAAAAUUAACUCAUGGUGAUGCUCUUGAGCUUUUUAGUUGGAAUGCGUUUAGGAAUUCCCAGUCUCCGGAUGAUUAUGCAGAGCUUUCACAUUGCUUUGUAAAUUAUGCUGACGGCCUUCCUUUAGCUCUUGUUGUGCUGGGCUCCUUUUUGUACAAAAGACCCGUGCCUGAAUGGGAAAGCGAAAUGGCUAGGCUGAAACAAAGUCCUAAUAAACGAAUAUUUGAAAUACUCAAGAUAAGCUAUGAUGGCCUAGAGGAUAAUGAGAAAGCCAUUUUCCUUGACAUUGCAUGCUUCUUUAAAGGGAUGGACAAAGAUGUUGUGAUGAAAAUUCUAGAUGCAUGUGAUUUCAACCCAGUCAUUGGAGUAAAAGUCCUCAUUGAGAAGUCCUUGAUAAGCAUAGAAAACAAUAAGAUACAGAUGCAUGCUUUAGUACAAUCAAUGGGCAAAGAAGUUGUUCGCCAGCAAUCUGCAAAACCUAAUGGGCGCAGCAGAUUGUGGUUUCAUGAGGAUGUUCUUGAGGUUCUCGCGGGAAAUAUGGGAACAGAUGACAUCGAAGGCAUUUUGGUAGACCUACCUGAAUCUGAAGAGAUACAGUUGAGUGCUGAAGCAUUUUUGAAAAUGCGAAGACUUCGAAUACUGUUAAUCCGCAAUGCUCAUAUUACUGGAGGUCCUGUGGAUCUUCCUAAUGAGUUAAGGUGGCUUGAAUGGCCUGCAUGUCCAUUGCCAUCAAUGCCAUCUGGAUUUCGGGCAAGAAAACUUGUUGGGAUUAACAUGCAUGGUAGCUACAUCAGGCAAUUUGGGGAAGGAUUCAAGAAUUACUUGACAUUUAUGGAUUUGAGAGAUUGUGAAUCCCUAAUAGAAACACCAGACUUCUCAUUCAUCCCAAAUCUUGAAAGGUUGAAUCUUGGAGGUUGUUCAAAAUUAGUUGAGGUUCAUCAGUCUGUUGGUUAUCUUGAUAAACUUGAAUUUUUGAGCUUUGAGUUCUGCUCUAACCUGAAAAGUCUUCCUAGUAGAUUCAAAUUGAGAUCUCUUCGGACACUUCUUCUUACUGGCUGCACAAAACUUGAGGCAUUUCCUGAUAUUGUGGAAGAGAUGAAAUGGCUGGAGAAAGUUUGUCUACAUGGGACAGCAAUAGAAGUUCUUCCUCCAUCAAUUGAAAAUCUUACUGGGCUUAAAGUCUUAACCGUGACUUUUUGCAAAAACCUCAACAAUCUUCCAAGUAGCAUUUAUAAGUUGCGGCAUCUUAAGCGUCUACUUCUUGAAGGUUGCUCUAGAUUUGAUGAGUUUCCAUUGACUUGUAACGGACAGUCAUCAGGGUUUCCUAUGUUAAGAUUUCUGGAUCUACAAAACUGCAAUUUGUUGGGAAUCAAUUUCCUAAUGGACCAUCAUUGCUUUUCUAUGUUGAGGGAUUUGGAUCUUUCAGGUAAUGAUUUUGCCAGUCUUCCACAAAGCAUUCGCCUACUGAAUAACUUGAGGAGCCUCAAAUUAUCCAACUGUAAGAAGGUCCAAGAAAUUCCAGAGCUUCCAAUGAAUAUGAAAAAAGUAGAAGCAAGAGAUUGUCGAUCACUGGAAAGAUUUUCUCAGUUACAAAGGGUAUUUAGAUGUAAUAAAGAGGAGAGGCCAAGCAAACUUCAUGAUAUUGACUUCUCCAACUGCCACAAACUUGCUGAAAAUGAGGGCAAAUUUCUUGAGAGGUCAUUACUGAGUAAGAAAUUUCGUCAGGAUCUUCGGAUUGAAAUAUUUCUUCCUGGAAGUGAGAUUCCAGAUUGGUUUAGCCAUUUUAGUGAAAAGGAUUCUUUAUCAUUCCAAGUACCCUCACAGAAGAGCGAGAAAAUCAGAGCCUUGGUUCUUUGUGCCAUUUUAAGUUUAAAGGAUGGAGAGACAGCAAACAUAUCACGUGAAGUUUUCAUCAAUGGUCAAAAUGUGAUAAUGUUUUCCAGACAGUUCUUUUCAUUGGAGUCGGAUCAUAUGUGGUUGUACUAUCUUCCACGUCGUUUUAUUAAGGGCUUGCAUUUGAAGCACGACGGUUUGUCUCACUUUGAGGUUUCAUUUAAAGUCCUUGGAGUAUCAAUUGGUUCAAUCCUGAAAAGUUGCGGGGUCUAUCUGGUUUACAAGCAAGAUGAGGUAGUGGAGGAUCCAAGUGUUAGCCAAUCUGUAAGUCGUCAAAUGGAGUCAACGUCAUUUGAUCUCAAGAGAAGUUGUGAUAAUGACUUGGAACUCGAUCUUGAUUUGAACUUGAAGUUGAAGAAAAGGACGACUGAAGAGUCUCAAAUAGCUAAAAACUGCACUGAGUGGCACCUUGAGCCUCCAACGCCAUUCAAUACUUGUGAGCAUCAGGGGAAACAGUGGCUUUCCUUAUCUCUACAACCACACAGGAAUCAAAUGACGGAGGAUCAUGUAGCAAUGUUCAGCACUCAUGGCAGUUAGUGUGAGCUCACUUUGCAACAGAUGCUCUGAUGACUCACGAUCCAGUGGGCUUGAGAGAUUUGGAAAAUUUGUAGGAAUAACAAUGAUUGGUUGCCAGUGAUUCAAUAAUAGGCACCCAAAAUUACUGAACAAUUUCUUCUUCCUCUAGUAUCCUUGGCAGAUUUGUGAACAAAUGCUUACGAGAGUAACACAGCAGCUGCUUUCUGUCUUGGGUUGGAUGCUUUAUGCCCUUCAUUUUGUGAAUUUGUUUCACUUGCAUCUAGAAGGGGUGAUGUUGCUGUGUUUUCCAGCUAUUACAUCACCAAGUACCAACUUUUUCCACUUACUGGUGGAACAAGAUAAAGACAAAAAACUGUUUAGACGCUACUUAUAGUAGUGUUGCUGAUUUGGAGAGCGUGGACCCACAAAAAAAAAAAGCAUAUAAAGCUUCAAAAGAAGCAAGCUAUCCACUUCAGCAGGAUGCUAAGCAUCCAAGCUCCUACCUAGGGAAAAACAUCUCUUUAGUAAAUAUUUUGGCAAGUUAAAGCACAAUAAAUCUGUCAUUUUGAGGGAUGAAACCAGCCAUUUUGCCAGCAUACAAGAACUGCUUCAGUUUGUGCUAAACCCAUGGCCUUGUUGAAAAACCGCCAAUCCACCAGAAUGAACUGGUGCAGAGAGUCCUAGCCAAUUUGCCGCCACCAAGUGCACCCCAGCACAGCCUGUCAAAACCUGCAAUCACAAAAGGUUAUCUUUCCUCUGCAUAAAAUUCUUAAAAGGGGACAAAAUGAUCAGGGUUUCAAAAUGAUCAGGGUUUAACUCUUGCUGUCCUGCAAUUUGGGACACAAAUGAACUAAAUUGUUUUCACUUGUACCUUUGAUUUGAUAGUAGUUUCAUCUUCCAAAUGAACAACAAUGGAAGCACCUCCAAGUUCUCGCUUUUCAAUAGCGGUGAGCUUGGAGAAAACCGAAUUGAAUUUGCUGGCAAUUCUUGUGCCAGAGCUUCUAA